UAGGGGAAUUUUCGUUCAAUGGGCGCAAGCCUGAACGAGCAAUGCCGCGUGAACGAGGAAGGUCUUCGGAUCGUAAAGUUCUGUUGAAGGGGAAAAAGAGCGGAGAGAGGAAAUGGUCUCCGAUUGAUAUUACCCUUCGAGGAAGUCACGGCUAACUACGUGCC
RNAcentral lists this ribosomal RNA (164 nucleotides) under uncultured bacterium. RNAcentral describes it as "partial 16S ribosomal RNA". It matches the Rfam family "Bacterial small subunit ribosomal RNA", at positions 354 to 509 of the family's 1533-position model. The record is from RNAcentral.